GAGGGGCAGCGAGACACUUCGGUGUUGUCGGCGACCGGCGGGCGGGUGCGUAAUACGUAUGCAACCUACUUUACAUUGGAGCAUAGCCUUUGGAAACAGAGAUUAAUACUCCAUAUUAUCUUUUUAACGCAUGUUAAGAGGAUGAAAGCUCAGGCGAUGUAAAAUGGGCAUGCGUCCUAUUAGCUAGUUGGUGAGGUAAUGGCUCAUCCAAGGCUUUGAUGGGUAGGGGUUCUUAGUGGAAGGUCCCCCACACCGGCACUGAGAUACGGGCCAGACUCCUACGGGAGGCAGCAGUAAGGAAUAUUGGUCAAUGGGCGCAAGCCUGAACCAGCCAUGCCGCGUGAAGGAUGAAGGCUCUAUGAGUUGUAAACUGCUUUUGUACAGGAACAAAAAAGUCCCUGCGGGGAUUCUUGAGUGUACUGUAAGAAUAAGCACCGGCUAAUUCCGUGCCAGCAGCCGCGGUAAUACGGAAGGUGCAAGCGUUAUCCGGUUUUAUUGGGUUUAAAGGGUGCGUAGGCGGCUUAUUAAGUCAGUUGUGAAAUCCUAGUGCUUAACGCUAGAACUGCAAUUGAUACUGGUAGGCUUGAGUUAAGAAGAGGUAAGUAGAAUUUAUGGUGUAGUAGUGAAAUGCUUAGAUAUCAUAAGGAAUACCAAUAGCGUAGGCAGCUUACUGGUCUUAUACUGACGCUGAGGCAACGAAAGCGUGGGGAGCAAACAGGAUUAGAUACCCUGGUAGUCCACGCCGUAAACGAUGAUCACUCGAUAUACAUGUAACUCAUGUGUGUCCAAGCGAAAGCGUUAAGUGAUCCACCUGGGGAGUAUACUCGCAAGGGUGAAACUCAAAGGAAUUGACGGAUCACGAAUUCUGGAUCCGAUACGUAACGCGUCUGCAGCAUGCGUGGUACCGAGCU
This 911-nucleotide ribosomal RNA is filed under the name Cardinium endosymbiont of Nitocra spinipes. Its description in RNAcentral is "bacterial SSU rRNA". It matches the Rfam family "Bacterial small subunit ribosomal RNA", at positions 64 to 975 of the family's 1533-position model. The record is from RNAcentral. Lineage: Bacteria; Pseudomonadati; Bacteroidota; Cytophagia; Cytophagales; Amoebophilaceae.